Erinaceus europaeus (western European hedgehog) is the source of this 96-nucleotide small nucleolar RNA. Its record names the gene SNORD116. It matches the Rfam family "Small nucleolar RNA SNORD116". From Rfam's summary of the family: HBII-85 is a member of the C/D class of snoRNAs, which contain the C (UGAUGA) and D (CUGA) box motifs. HBII-85 is encoded in a tandemly repeated array with another C/D snoRNA, HBII-52, in the Prader-Willi syndrome (PWS) region of chromosome 15. Unlike most other snoRNAs, HBII-85 is expressed prevalently in the brain (but is absent in PWS patients) and lacks any significant complementarity with ribosomal RNA. Lineage: Eukaryota; Metazoa; Chordata; Mammalia; Eulipotyphla; Erinaceidae. The record is from Ensembl.
GGAUCAAUGACGACUCCCCUCAAAAGCAUCCCUUGGAAAGCUGAACAAAAUGAUUGAGAACUCACCAUAAACAUAAAAUUGUAAAACUUGAAAUGU